Molecule: transfer RNA, 78 nt
Filed under: Anaerocellum diazotrophicum
Lineage: Bacteria; Bacillati; Bacillota; Caldicellulosiruptorales; Caldicellulosiruptoraceae
Description: Caldicellulosiruptor sp. YA01 tRNA-Gly
Source: RNAcentral
UGCUGCAAUGUAAAAUGGAAUGCCAUGCUGUUUUGCCAAAACAGAAAGAGAGUAAGUUCCAAUCUUAUUUGCUGUAUC